AUCCUUUCAAACCCCUGCACUCUCCCUCAUUCUCUUCUCCGGCAAUCACAGCAACGCCGGCGUUGACUGAUGUUUUUCGCAGCCGUUUAAAGAGAAUCCCUUCGAAUCAGGUCCAUAAAUCCCGUCCAUAAAUCCCAGACGAAACAGCAUCGAUCCCGUCCAUAAAUCCCAGACGAAACAGCAUAAAUCCCGUCCAUAAAUCCCAGACGAAACAGCAUAAAUCCCUUCGAAUCAGGCUUCGACGGUGGUCUAGAUCUGAUGUUUUUCGCAGCCGUUUUAUCGCCGGAAUCGAAGCCAGAUCUGAUGUUUAUCACUGGAAUCGAAGAAAUCAGGGUAAUUUUCGACGGAUCUGAUGUUUGUCGCCGGAAUUGAAGCCAAAUCUGAUGUUUAUCGCCGGCGAUAAAACGGUGGAGACGUCGUAAACGAGGAAAGUGGAGAUGGAACGUCGAUAAGGAUGAUUCACGUAUGAGGUCGAUAAGGAUGAUUCACGUAUGUUUGUUUUGCUUGGUCGAUAAGGAUGAUUCAACAUACAACGCGGCGAAUAGUUGUAAAAGACUAUGUCUUUUUUAUUUUUCCGAUUAUGUUGCGUUU
RNAcentral lists this long non-coding RNA (591 nucleotides) under Helianthus annuus (common sunflower). The record is from RNAcentral. Lineage: Eukaryota; Viridiplantae; Streptophyta; Magnoliopsida; Asterales; Asteraceae.